GAGAUCAACUGGGGACCACUUAGACCACUUCAGUAUCCACGAGGCUGUGAUGUUGUUUGGGAUUCAUCCCAGUAUGUCCCAGAAGGAAACUCCAGCCCUGAUGAUCUAACUACAGUGCCAAGAAAAAUGUUGGAGAAGAUCAUACUGGAUCUGCUGGGAAAACAAUUCAAGGACAGUGCCUGCGUCAGGCACAGGCAGCUCAGGAUAGGAGAGAAAUUCCUGUCUAACUGGUUUCUUAUCCUGCUGCCAUAAGGUCUCCCAGCUCAGAGGUGAUGGGAAGGGAAAGCCUGUUCAUUUUGGGGAUUAUAGUAGGAGUUUUGUCUCUGUCCUUCACAGAAUCCUUCUGGAGGUGUCCAGCUGUUAGAUGAGCAGGGACAGGUUGUGCUGGCUGCUGUGCUGGAUUUAACCGGGAUAGGGAACUUUUUCUUUGCUGGAUUUGGAUUCAGAAUGGUAAUGGUGCAGAUAACACCCGGGAGAUUUGGUGGCUGCUGAGUGGGGUUUGCCCUCCUCAAGCACUUUGCAGCGUCCUGUGGGACAAUUCAGGACAAGGCACCAUCCUCGGGGAUGUUCCCUGUGCCUUCUGUAGGCAAGGAGGAAAAAGGGAGUCUGGAGGGUGAUGGUGUCACUUGGCACAGUCCAUUGUGGUGGAGACCAGGUGAGUGAGGGAUGAGGGGGCCCAAGUGAGAUCCCUCCAAAAAAGGGAGGUUACAGCCGCAAAAUGCCUGAAAAUUCAAGAGGGCUUUGUGUGUAAAAUACUGAGAACUGCAAAUAUUCCCAUUUUUUAUAUUCUGGGAAAUUUUAAUGCAUUUAAAAACCGAUUCAGAAAUAAAACCUUGUGUCUGCUGUGUUAUAGACAGGAUAUACACUGUAAGGAAUUCUGAUUACGGAGCUAGAGGGUUUAAAAAUACAAAUAUAUUUCUCUAUUCGGGGCCAAGGCCGGGAUAAAGUUUCCCGGAAAGAAACGCCGGAGCGCAAGCGCGGAGCCGGGAGCGGCAGCGGCGGAGCCCGGGGAGCAGCGGUGGCGGGCUCGGAGCAAAGAACUUCCCAAACUGCCUCCUCACCCUCAUGGACUGCAGGAGUGUCUUCCAUAGCUCCUGUUCAGGAAUGGCAGUGGCUGUGGGGAGCUCUGGCGGGAGCAGCUGGAGACCAGGUAAGAACAGAAAUGGGAUCAUUCCAGCUGCUGCUGGAGGCGGUUUUCCCUUUUCAGGAUGAUCCUCUGAUGGGUGUUUGCACAGCAGUGUUCUAGGGCAUGUGUGGGGGUAAUGGCAGGAAUUUUGAAACAGGUGAGAAGCAGAGGGGAAAAAAUGUGAAGCUGAUCUGUUUCUAGUAAUUCCAAACUUAUCCCACAGCACCAUUCUAGAGGAGAUCUGGGUAAGGGACAGAGAUGCAGAGGAACAAGUGUUCUAAAUCCCCCUGGAUUUCUGACAGAGCAAACCUUCCCGUGAUCCCAGCUGAUGUCUCUGAGAAACUGUGGGGUCCUAAGGAUUUCCAGGAAAGCAAAACAAGGACAGAGAUGAGGGAAUAGGUUUCCAAUUAAUAAUGAUUUGGUGGACAUGGGACUGAUUCUUGUAUGUUUGAUGCUCCCUGUUUUAUUACUGGAAUAAUUUUAAAGUGAUUCCUUUAAUAAAUCAUAUAAAUUUGAGAGGAAACAAUGGAAAAUUAAUGAAGGGAGAGAUUGUGGACUCAUCAUGGAAUGGUUUGGGAUGGAAGCCUCAUCUCUGAGCCUGUCCUGGGCUGGCUCCUGUCCUUGGACCCCUGGAAGGACAUGGAAAUGGUGGAGAUGUGCAGGGAAUGCCGGUUGGUUUUCCCUGCCUCUGGCAAUCUGGCCAUUAGGAAGACUAAUUGACCUCUCCCAGGAGGGAAACAUUUAAACAAGAGGUGCCAAAAAGAACUGGAGCUUCUGCACAAUGAGAUCUGCAGGAAUCCAACUUAAAAUCCUCCUGGAUUGUCACCAGUCCAACUUCCAUGGACUGGUCUCUGUGGUCAGGAGUGUCCAGUCCUGCUGGAAAUGCACUGGACCAGGAUGUCAUUUUCACUUUAUACACAUAAAGAACCUCUGGGUGACCCCCAGUGACUGGAAGGACCAGACUGGGCUCCCAGGGCACUAAUUCCAGGUGUUCUGGUUUUGGGAAUAGCACAGGAGCAGCAGACUGCCUUCCUUAGUCCACAAAUCCCCAGGAUGGACCACAGAGAAAAUAACAGGAAUGUGGAAAUCCCCCGCACAGGGAGUUUGUGGUGCUCUGGAUUACAUUUUGGAUUUACAAUAUUAAAGGGGGGGAGGUGUAGGGUUUAUUUCUCUUUCUCCUGUUCGUUGUUGUUCUCAGUGUUCUUGUUGCUCUCACUGUCAUUAUGUGUUGUCAUUAAUAUUAAAUGAUUGUAUUUGACUGGUUUCCAUUAUUAAAGUGUUGUGAGCUGGA
Molecule: non-coding RNA, 2417 nt
Organism: Taeniopygia guttata (zebra finch)
Lineage: Eukaryota; Metazoa; Chordata; Aves; Passeriformes; Estrildidae
Source: RefSeq, a predicted model, not a curated record